RNAcentral lists this ribosomal RNA (729 nucleotides) under Triticum aestivum (bread wheat). RNAcentral describes it as "partial small subunit ribosomal RNA". Lineage: Eukaryota; Viridiplantae; Streptophyta; Magnoliopsida; Poales; Poaceae. The record is from RNAcentral.
AUGACCAGCUCCCUGUCUGUCUUCUUCCGCAUGGUUGGAUUCCUCAGGAACAGAUUGACCUUCCUGUCGAGCCAACCCACGGUGGUGGUGCUGUCCAUCCACCACGGAGAUUCGCUCCUCCUCUCCGUCGUGGAUUCGCUCCUCCUCCAAUCCCGCGGCACCGUCCUCCACCACGGCUCACUCGCCUCCCUCGAUGCUGCCCUCCUCUCACACGGCUUCGCCGUCCCCGCGCAGCUCAACCCGCUAGAGUACGCCCUCGAGAGGGCGUGGAAGGUGGUGUAUCGCAGCAAGCAGCUGCUAUUGACCAACUUCCUCGAGGCUGUGAUCGUUGGGACGCUGCUGGGCACCAUCUACAUCAACGCCGGAUAUGGCAAGGCCGGCGCACACAAGCGACUGGGGCUCUUCGCCUUCAUGCUGACGUUCCUGCUCACCUCCACCAUGGAGACGCUGCCAACGUUCAUCACGGAGCGAGUAAAUUGCUCAAAGCCACCACAUUUGUGGCUAGGGCAUGCGAUGGCGAGCAGCGCCGCUUCAGCUUCGGCAAGCGCCCCUCCCAUCGAGGUAGCCAUGCCGGCGGCACACAAACCCAGCAAGCCGUGCCCGGAGCCUGAGCUAUCAAGCAGCGCCGCUCCAGCUCAGGUGGUGCUGUCGGUUCCCGCUGGAUCUGGUGCCCGCAGUACGGCGGGGAAGACCCAGGCCGGCAAUGGGCUCGAGCGCGGAAACAGUUGA